Molecule: ribosomal RNA, 243 nt
Filed under: uncultured bacterium
Lineage: Bacteria
Description: partial 16S ribosomal RNA
Rfam family: Bacterial small subunit ribosomal RNA
Source: RNAcentral
GGCCUACGGGGGGCAGCAGUGGGGAAUAUUGGGCAAUGGGCGCAAGCCUGACCCAGCAACGCCGCGUGAAGGAAGAAGGCCCUCGGGUUGUAAACUUCUUUUGUCAGGGACGAAGCAAGUGACGGUACCUGACGAAUAAGCCACGGCUAACUACGUGCCAGCAGCCGCGGUAAUACGUAGGUGGCAAGCGUUAUCCGGAUUUACUGGGUGUAAAGGGCGUGUAGGCGGGGCAGCAAGUCAGAU